CCUACGGGAGGCAGCAGUGGGGAAUUUUGGACAAUGGGCGCAAGCCUGAUCCAGCAAUGCCGCGUGAGUGAAGAAGGCCUUCGGGUUGUAAAGCUCUUUUGUCAGGGAAGAAACGGUGGGAGCUAAUAUCUCCUGCUAAUGACGGUACCUGAAGAAUAAGCACCGGCUAACUACGUGCCAGCAGCCGCGGUAAUACGUAGGGUGCAAGCGUUAAUCGGAAUUACUGGGCGUAAAGCGUGCGCAGGCGGUUUUGUAAGACUGUCGUGAAAUCCCCGGGCUCAACCUGGGAAUGGCGAUGGUGACUGCAAGGCUAGAGUUUGGCAGAGGGGGGUAGAAUUCCACGUGUAGCAGUGAAAUGCGUAGAUAUGUGGAGGAACACCGAUGGCGAAGGCAGCCCCCUGGGUCAAAACUGACGCUCAUGCACGAAAGCGUGGGGAGCAAACAGGAUUAGAUACCCUGGUAGUCCACGCCCUAAACGAUGUCUACUAGUUGUCGGGUCUUAAUUGACUUGGUAACGCAGCUAACGCGUGAAGUAGACCGCCUGGGGGAGGUACGGUCGCGAGAAGUUAAACGUAACAAAGUAGUAAGUUAGUACGGCGUGAGACGUACGACCGACGGACGACGACGAGGGGAGGAGG
RNAcentral lists this ribosomal RNA (638 nucleotides) under uncultured bacterium. RNAcentral's name for it is "bacterial SSU rRNA". The stretch from base 1 to 542 matches the Rfam family "Bacterial small subunit ribosomal RNA", at positions 338 to 873 of the family's 1533-position model. The record is from RNAcentral.